RNAcentral lists this ribosomal RNA (1386 nucleotides) under metagenome. RNAcentral describes it as "bacterial LSU rRNA". It matches the Rfam family "Bacterial large subunit ribosomal RNA", at positions 1522 to 2925 of the family's 2925-position model. The record is from RNAcentral.
AGGCAGUCUAAAUAGGCAAAUCCGUUUGGACAAUGCUAGGAUGUGAUGGGGAAGCCCUCCGGGGCGAAGUAGCUGAUUUCACACUGUCAAGAAAAGCUUCUAUCGAGUUUAAAGGCGCCCGUACCGUAAACCGACACAGGUGGGUGAGGAGAGUAUCCUAAGGCCAGCGAGAGAACUAUUGUUAAGGAACUCGGCAAAAUGACCCCGUAACUUAGGGAGAAGGGGUGCCUGUCUAUGACAGGCCGCAGAGAAUAGGCCCAAGCGACUGUUUACCAAAAACACAGGUUUCUGCUAAGUCGCAAGACGAUGUAUAGGAGCUGACGCCUGCCCGGUGCUGGAAGGUUAAGGGGAUCUGUUAGAGCAAUCGAAGCAGUGAACUUAAGCCCCAGUAAACGGCGGCCGUAACUAUAACGGUCCUAAGGUAGCGAAAUUCCUUGUCGGGUAAGUUCCGACCCGCACGAAAGGCGUAACGAUUUGGGCACUGUCUCAACAAUAGACUCGGUGAAAUUGUAAUCCCGGUGAAGAUGCCGGGUACCUGCGACAGGACGGAAAGACCCCAUGGAGCUUUACUGUAGCUUGACGUUGGGUCUUGGUACUACAUGUACAGGAUAGGUGGGAGACUAUGAAGCAUGGACGCCAGUCUGUGUGGAGUCAUCCUUGGGAUACCACCCUUGUAGUACUGGGAUCCUAACCAUAGGCCUUGAAUCAGGUCUUGGAACACCGUCAGGUGGGCAGUUUGACUGGGGCGGUCGCCUCCUAAAAAGUAACGGAGGCGCUCAAAGGUUUCCUCAGCACGGUCGGAAAUCGUGCGAAGAGUGUAAAGGCAAAAGGAAGCUUGAUUGCAAGACAUACAGGUCGAGCAAGGACGAAAGUCGGACUUAGUGAUCCGGUGGUACCGCAUGGAAGGGCCAUCGCUCAACGGAUAAAAGCUACCCUGGGGAUAACAGGCUUAUCUCCCCCAAGAGUCCACAUCGACGGGGAGGUUUGGCACCUCGAUGUCGGCUCAUCACAUCCUGGGGCUGUAGUAGGUCCCAAGGGUUGGGCUGUUCGCCCAUUAAAGUGGUACGCGAGCUGGGUUCAGAACGUCGUGAGACAGUUCGGUCCCUAUCCGUCGCAGGCGUAGGAAAUUUGAGAAGACCUGUCCUUAGUACGAGAGGACCGGGAUGGACGUACCUCUGGUGUACCAGUUGUUCUGCCAAGGGCAUGGCUGGGUAGCUAUGUACGGAAUGGAUAAGCGCUGAAAGCAUCUAAGCGCGAAGCCAACUUCAAGAUAAGAUUUCCCACCGUAAGGGUAAGACCCCAGGAAGACUACCUGGUUGAUAGGUCGAAGGUGUAAGUGCAGUAAUGUAUUUAGCUUAUCGAUACUAAUAGGUCGAGGACUUGACC